RNAcentral lists this unclassified non-coding RNA (311 nucleotides) under Hevea brasiliensis (rubber tree). Lineage: Eukaryota; Viridiplantae; Streptophyta; Magnoliopsida; Malpighiales; Euphorbiaceae. The record is from RNAcentral.
AAAAAAAAAAAAAAAUCUAUAGGGAAGUAUCGGGAGUAGUAGGUAGUGAGAGCUCAACCCCAAGAAAAAGAGGGUUUAAGCCGCAGCAGCUUGAAUGGAGAGCAUGAGAUGCAUAGGCAUUGGUACUCCAAGACUGGUUACUCCGCCAAUAAUCCCCCACCCAUCUCUAAGAAAAUCCUCCAAACUCAUUUGCACCACCACCUGCUCCGCCAGCAAAUGGGCCGAUCGCCUCUUCAGCGACUUUCAAUUCUUGAACACCACCGCCGAAACCUCCUCCGACCUCCGCCAUUCUCUCUCCUCUUCCACAGCCA